Molecule: transfer RNA, 61 nt
Filed under: Bradyrhizobium japonicum
Lineage: Bacteria; Pseudomonadati; Pseudomonadota; Alphaproteobacteria; Hyphomicrobiales; Nitrobacteraceae
Description: partial tRNA-Arg
Rfam family: tRNA
About the family: Transfer RNA (tRNA) molecules are approximately 80 nucleotides in length. Their secondary structure includes four short double-helical elements and three loops (D, anti-codon, and T loops). Further hydrogen bonds mediate the characteristic L-shaped molecular structure. tRNAs have two regions of fundamental functional importance: the anti-codon, which is responsible for specific mRNA codon recognition, and the 3' end, to which the tRNAs corresponding amino acid is attached (by aminoacyl-tRNA synthetases). tRNAs cope with the degeneracy of the genetic code in two manners: having more than one tRNA (with a specific anti-codon) for a particular amino acid; and 'wobble' base-pairing, i.e. permitting non-standard base-pairing at the 3rd anti-codon position.
Source: RNAcentral
GGAUAGAGCAAUCGGAUUUCGAUUCCGAGGGUCGGAGGUUCGAAUCCUUCCGAGCGCGCCA